This 1308-nucleotide long non-coding RNA is filed under the name Lathyrus oleraceus (garden pea). RNAcentral's name for it is "Pisum sativum (pea) long non-coding RNA (PSAT_LNC020471)". Lineage: Eukaryota; Viridiplantae; Streptophyta; Magnoliopsida; Fabales; Fabaceae. The record is from RNAcentral.
AAACAUACCAAACGAAAAAAAUGCAUUAAUAGUAAAAACACUCGAAAACAAUAAACAAUAAAUUUAAGUAUUAAAAACAUGAUAUGGUGGACUGUCUUCACCUUCCUACAAGAACCAUUUAGAUUCCAUAUCUUGCAAGGAAAACUAAAGGGGGAUGCUUAGAGAAAGUGUGCAUAAAUUUACAAUGUUCCAAAGGUCAAUCCAUUAUUUACAUAUGACUCUGUCAAGUCUAAUAGCAAUACGAGUAACCCUUCCCACCAUUGGUUUGAUUGUAGAAGCUACUACACUGGUGUCUAAAUAAAAUAGAUCAUUAUAGUUGGCUCAACUGAUAGAUUCAUCACAUGAUGUUUUAAUAGGCGGACAUCGACCAAAUUACUCAUGAGCUCUCAAGACAAAAUUAAAUUCUCCAAUAAUGCACCAAGGGUUGAGGCUACCUUUUUGUAAUGUAUUCUAUUUUAACAAAAGUUUAUUUCUCUCCAUAUGCAAAGUUUUGACAUAAACUGCAGCUAUGUGACAUAUUUUUCCCUCUUACAAGAGAGAAUGUAAUAUGUUGCUCUAAUAGGAAUAAUACAUCAGUUUCUUGAUCAGAAUUGUAGAAACCCCAAAGAUUAGAAGCAUGAUUAUGUCUGAAAUCGAGAGAAAGUAUCUUGAGAUUUAAUGACCUUAAGCGGUAGGAAAAUGUGCAAAAUGUAUCAUUGGUUUAAUUAUGAUUAGUAUGGCAGGCUUGUGGGAUAAGCAAAGAUUUUUUAAGACCAAAUUUAUAUCAACGUUACCAGUUCCCUUGAAUUCUGGUACUCUCAAAAACGAAUAUAUAAAAAAGUUCCUUUAUCUAUAUAACAUAUAUAAUAACGAAUAUCAGUUAGAAGUCUCAACUGAUAUUAGGUAAGAAACACAAACACACUGUAUCAUAUAAAUAUUGUAAAUGGUAAGCAACAUAUAUGUAUAGUCCAGCAUGCAUUCAUCACACUAGCUUAAGUGUCAAAUUUCUCAUUCUUUGUAACAACUCAUAAUGACAAAUCCAUCAUGCAGCGGGUGCUAGAUCGAUACCACCGUCAUCGUCAUCGUCAUCAUCGUCGCCUUCAUUUUCGGGGUGAAAUCGAGUUGCCACCCAGUCAUUGCACAUGUGAAAGUGAGGCAAAGCAGGUUUUAUGCAAGUUAAAACUGCCAUUCUAGUGUUUGUUGGACUAAUACAAAUUACACUAGUUGUGAACUGCUUUGGUUGACCGUGUCUCCAAACACUUAUUUAUACCAAUAAAAUAUUCCUUUUCAAUAUUACAAAGUUAUAUUCUAUGAAAUUGUAGGUUUUUU